AACGGGUGAGUAACACGUGAAGAACCUGCCCUUCAGUGGGGGACAACAGUUGGAAACGACUGCUAAUACCGCAUAAGACCACAGUACCGCAUGGUACAGUGAUCAAAGGAUUUAUUCGCUGAGGGAUGGCUUCGCGUCCGAUUAGGUAGUUGGUGAGGUAACGGCCCACCAAGCCUACGAUCGGUAGCCGGACUGAGAGGUUGAUCGGCCACAUUGGGACUGAGACACGGCCCAGACUCCUACGGGAGGCAGCAUG
RNAcentral lists this ribosomal RNA (256 nucleotides) under uncultured bacterium. RNAcentral's name for it is "partial 16S ribosomal RNA". It matches the Rfam family "Bacterial small subunit ribosomal RNA", at positions 101 to 353 of the family's 1533-position model. The record is from RNAcentral.